GACGAACGCUGGCGGCGUGCUUAACACAUGCAAGUCGAACGGAAAGUCCCUGCUUGUGUGGGGUGCUCGAGUGGCGAACUGGUGAGUAACACGUGAGUAACCUGCCCUGGACUUUGUGAUAACGUCAGGAGACUGGGGCUGAUACCGGAUAGUAGCUCCUGCUUCAUGUUGUGGGUUGGAAAGUUUCGGCGGUUGGGGAUGGACUCGCCGCUUAUCAGCUUGUUUGUGGGGUAGUGGCUUACCAAGUCUUUGACCGGUAGCCGGCCUGAGAGGGUGACCGGCCACACUGGGACUGAGCUGAGGCACAGACUAAUACGGGAGGCAGAAGUGGGGAAUAUUGCACAAUGGGCGGAAGCAUGACGCAGCACAGCCGCGUGCGGGAUGACGGCCUUCGGGUUGUAACCUGAUUUCGCGUGUGACGAAGAGUGAGUGACGGUAAUGGGUAAAGAAGCACCGGCUAACUACGUG
This 468-nucleotide ribosomal RNA is filed under the name uncultured bacterium. RNAcentral describes it as "partial 16S ribosomal RNA". It matches the Rfam family "Bacterial small subunit ribosomal RNA", at positions 28 to 507 of the family's 1533-position model. The record is from RNAcentral.